AGAAACAGUGCUAAUGUAAUAGGUUAAAAUAUGUAUUGUUUGAAAAAACUCUGGGAAAAAGAACUUGCUGAGUUUAAGAAAACAACCAAUGCAGAGGUGUUUUGCUAAUGAGCACGAUCAGAUGAGUUCACGCCGAGCCGUAUAGACAAAGGAGAAACGGAUCUGGAGGCUUGAUGGCUCCUGCAAACAGCACCUGUCUUCUCCAGUUGGGAGGACUAUGAGGAGAAGAGCAAAGGGGAGGCAGCCAGAUCGCUGCUCCUGGAGACUGCACCCAAGGACACGUGCACUGACCCCCUCAGAUACAUGAGGGGUGGAGACAGUAGGCUGGCGAGUCUGAUGGAAGAGAUGCUCUGGAAAAUUGCCAGCCAGAGGCACGUGCACACGUGGGCGUGAUCUACACAGGACUUAGUUUCAGUGAGUGUGCAAUUGCUUUCUAUUAAAAUGCCAGGCAUUUUUCCUUUUUAAAAAA
Suricata suricatta (meerkat) is the source of this 469-nucleotide long non-coding RNA. RefSeq lists it as uncharacterized. The transcript has 2 exons. The record is from RefSeq and is a predicted model, not a curated record. Lineage: Eukaryota; Metazoa; Chordata; Mammalia; Carnivora; Herpestidae.